This 181-nucleotide non-coding RNA is filed under the name Limisphaerales bacterium. Its description in RNAcentral is "Verrucomicrobia subdivision 3 bacterium (hot springs metagenome) 6S RNA". It matches the Rfam family "6S / SsrS RNA". From Rfam's summary of the family: E. coli 6S RNA was the first non coding RNA to be sequenced, but its function was unknown until recently. It consists of 184 nucleotides that fold into an extended hairpin structure with a large single-stranded internal bulge. The record is from RNAcentral. Lineage: Bacteria; Pseudomonadati; Verrucomicrobiota; Verrucomicrobiia; Limisphaerales.
UUUGCCCUGCCCGGUGCGUGAUUUGAAACAAAGUCCUUGAACCGUAAUAAAUAAAUUAGGGAGCCUCAAGUUCGGCGUUGGCCGACAUGCCUUGACUGGAAGUCGAAAGACGCUGAACCGGUUCCACUUGUUUCGCUGCAGUUCAGAGGAACUGUUUACACACGGCCAGGGUGGGGCGAUU